GACGAACGCUGGCGGCGUGCUUAACACAUGCAAGUCGAACGGAAAGGCCCCUUUGGGGGUACUCGAGUGGCGAACGGGUGAGUAACACGUGAGUAACCUGCCCUUGACUUCGGGAUAACUUCAGGAAACUGGGGCUAAUACCGGAUAGGAAUCCUUGCUGCAUGGUGGGGGUUGGAAAGCUUCGGCGGUUUUGGAUGGACUCGCGGCUUAUCAGCUUGUUGGUGGGGUAGUGGCUUACCAAGGCUUUGACGGGUAGCCGGCCUGAGAGGGCGACCGGCCACAUUGGGACUGAGAUACGGCCCAGACUCCUACGGGAGGCAGAAGUGGGGAAUAUUGAACAAUGGGCGGAAGCCUGAUGCAGCAACGCCGCGUGCGGGAUGACGGCCUUCGGGUUGUAAACCGCUUUCAGCAGGGGCGAAGCUUGUGGUGACGGUACCUGCAGAAGAAGCACCGGCUAACUACGUG
Molecule: ribosomal RNA, 465 nt
Filed under: uncultured bacterium
Lineage: Bacteria
Description: partial 16S ribosomal RNA
Rfam family: Bacterial small subunit ribosomal RNA
Source: RNAcentral